UGAGUGGAUGGGAGCAACCUAGUUGUGCGUGUGUAAAGGUAGUGCCAAGAAAAGCGGUGAUCAUGAUGAAAAUCAAUUCCCGGUACCCGAAACCGACACAGGUGGGCAAGUAGAGAAUACUAAGGGGCGCGAGGUAACUCUCUCCAAGGAACUCGGCAAAAUGACCCCGUAACUUAGGGAGAAGGGGUGCCACCGAGAGGUGGUCGCAGUGAAGAGGCCCAGGCGACUGUUUAGCAAAAACAUAGGUCUCUGCAAACUCGAAAGAGGAGGUAUAGGGGCUGACGCCUGCCCAGUGCCGGAAGGUUAAAGAAGUUGGUCAGUCUUAGGAUGAAGCUAGCGACUGAAGCCCCGGUGAACGGCGGCCGUAACUAUAACGGUCCUAAGGUAGCGAAAUUCCUUGUCGGGUAAGUUCCGACCCGCACGAAAGGCGUAACGAUCUGGGCGCUGUCUCGGAGAGAGGCUCGGCGAAAUAGGAUUGUUUGUGAAGAUACGGACUACCUGCAUUUGGACAGAAAGACCCUAUGAAGCUUUACUAUAGCUUGGAAUUGUGUUCGGGCUUCCUGUGCGCAGGAUAGGUGGGAGGCGUAGAAGGUAUUCUUGUGGGGAUACUGGAGCCAACGGUGAGAUACCACUCUCAGGAGGCUAGAAUUCUAACUUAAUUAAGGACAGUUUCAGGUGGGUAGUUUGGCUGGGGCGGUCGCCUCCAAAAAGGUAACGGAGGCGUACAAAGGUUCCCUCAGACUGGUUGGAAAUCAGUCGAAGAGUGCAAAGGCAGAAGGGAGCUUGACUGCGAGAAGUACAGUUCGAGCAGGGUGGAAACACGGUCUUAGUGAUCCGACGGUGCUGUGUGGAAGGGCCGUCGCUCAACGGAUAAAAGUUACUCUAGGAUAACAGGCUGAUCUCCCCCAAGAGUUCACAUCGACGGGGAGGUUUGGCACCUCGAUGUCGGCUCAUCGCAACCUGGGGCGGAAGUACGUCCCAAGGGUUGGGCUGUUCGCCCAUUAAAGCGGUACGUGAGCUGGGUUCAGAACGUCGUGAGACAGUUCGGUCCAUAUCCGAUGUAGGCGUGAGAAUAUUGAGAGGAGCCUUCCUUAGUACGAGAGGACCGGGAAGGACGCACCGCUGGUGUACCUGUUAUGAUGCCAAUUGUAAACGCAGGGUAGCCAAGUGCGGAGAGGAACCGCUGAAAGCAUCUAAGUGGGAAGCCCACCUCAAGAUGAGUAUUCUGGUGUAAGGUCACGGGAAGACGACCCGUAAAUAGGCACGAGGUGGAAGUGCAGAGAUGUAUGAAGCCGAAGUGUACUAAUAGACCGUCGGCUUG
This 1321-nucleotide ribosomal RNA is filed under the name metagenome. RNAcentral describes it as "bacterial LSU rRNA". It matches the Rfam family "Bacterial large subunit ribosomal RNA", at positions 1560 to 2925 of the family's 2925-position model. The record is from RNAcentral.